This 111-nucleotide microRNA precursor is filed under the name Mus musculus (house mouse). RNAcentral's name for it is "predicted gene, 55223 (ENSMUSG00002076114.1)". The record is from RNAcentral. Lineage: Eukaryota; Metazoa; Chordata; Mammalia; Rodentia; Muridae.
GCAUAUAUAUAUAUAUAUAUAUAUAUAUAUAUAUAUAUAUAUAUACACAUACAUACAUAUAUAUGUAUAUAUACAUACACACAUAUAUAUGAAUAUUUGUGUAUAUAUACA